RNAcentral lists this ribosomal RNA (301 nucleotides) under uncultured bacterium. RNAcentral describes it as "partial 16S ribosomal RNA". It matches the Rfam family "Bacterial small subunit ribosomal RNA", at positions 509 to 807 of the family's 1533-position model. The record is from RNAcentral.
CAGUAGCCGCGGUAAUACGUAGGGUGCGAGCGUUAAUCGGAAUUACUGGGCGUAAAGCGUGCGCAGGCGGUUGUGUAAGACAGGUGUGAAAUCCCCGGGCUUAACCUGGGAACUGCGCUUGUGACUGCACAGCUAGAGUAUGGCAGAGGGGGGUGGAAUUCCACGUGUAGCAGUGAAAUGCGUAGAGAUGUGGAGGAACACCGAUGGCGAAGGCAGCCCCCUGGGCCAAUACUGACGCUCAUGCACGAAAGCGUGGGGAGCAAACAGGAUUAGAUACCCCUGUAGUCCCUGUCUCUUAUAC